GGCUUCCAGCUUCAUCCAUGUCCCUGCAAAGGACAGGAACCCAUUCGUUUUUAUGGUUGCAUAGUAUUCCGUGGUAUAUACGUGCCACAUUUUGUGUAUCCACUGUAUCAUUCAUGGGCAUGAGAUAUCCUCUUAACAUGUGAUCCAGCAAUUGCACUCUUCGGUAUUUAUCCAAAAGAGUUGAAAACUUGUGUUCACAGAAAAACCUGCACAUGGACAUUUAUAGAAGCUUUAUUCAUAAUUGCUCAAACUUGGAGGCAACGAAGAAACCAAAAUGUUCUUCACUAGAAAUGAACUAGCGGAUUCCAAAAUGUGUCCGGAAAUUUAAAGAACCCCAAAGAGCUAAGACAACUUGGAAAAAAACGGUGGAGGACUUACCUGAACUAUCAAAACUGGGUUAAUGAAACCUCCUAGAGGGUCUAGUAAUAAUCUCACAAACAUGUUACAUAUACGUAGUGGAUUUUUGAAUAAAGGUUCAAAGACAUUAGAGAAAGGACGAUAAUGAUGAUAGAAGGAUUAAAUACCAUAGGCAAAAAAGAGAAAAAAAGAGCUCCUGCUAAAUAUCUUCACAUUGUUGGUGUCACUCAUGGAAUUCAAUUCACAUUUUGCGUGUCUAAAAGUUGAACAGAGCUCUUCAUUCUCUUUCCCCAAUUCACUCCACAGAGAUGCUGAUGUCUUUCAGUGGAACUUGGAAGUUUGCUCUUCUUUUUAAAAUGACUUAGAUACUGUUUAUGCAAGAAGUUAUGGGACUGUAACUUACAAAUACUGUUCUAAACCUUGGAAUCACAUAUUCCCCUUUUUCUCUACUUAUCGUUUCUAAUCAGUUUCCCAUUUCCUCUUUCUCCUUCAUAUUUACACUGCAUUCCUUUUAGUUCAGGUUCUUGUUACCCCACUUGACCUCUUGAUGCGGUCACCUGAAUGUCCUUCGUGUUCCAGCCUCCUGGAAUCCUUCCUUCAUGACCCUGCAGAACUGCCCUCCAGACCCGCAGGUGUGACCCGGAAUCAAGGAUCUCAAAGCCGAGUGGGAUCUGAAAGGCUAUCUAGACCAAUCCUCCAUUACAGACGUAUACCUUUUGAUGACUUCACUUCAGAGCCCAAAAUAUUUGCACUGCAGGCAGAAUCACCUAAAUCACUUAAUGUGAUGUUCAGUCUUCCCG
Macaca mulatta (Rhesus monkey) is the source of this 1157-nucleotide non-coding RNA. Lineage: Eukaryota; Metazoa; Chordata; Mammalia; Primates; Cercopithecidae. The record is from RefSeq and is a predicted model, not a curated record.